CAGCAGCCGCGGUAAUACGGAGGAUGCAAGUGUUAUCCGGAAUUACUGGGCGUAAAGCGUCUGUAGGUGGUUUAAUAAGUCAACUGUUAAAUCUUGAGGCUUAACUUCAAAACAGCAGUCGAAACUAUUAGACUAGAGUAUAGUAGGGGUAAAGGGAAUUUCCAGUGGAGCGGUGAAAUGCGUAGAUAUUGGAAAGAACACCGAUGGCGAAAGCACUUUACUGGGCUAUUACUAACACUCAGAGACGAAAGCUAGGGUAGCAAAUGGGAUUAGAUACCCCAGUAGUCCUAGCCGUAAACUAUGGAUACUAGAUGUUGAACAGAUCGACCUGUGCAGUAUCAAAGCUAACGCGUUAAGUAUCCCGCCUGGGAAGUAUGCUCGCAAGAGUGAAACUCAAAGGAAUUGACGG
This 409-nucleotide ribosomal RNA is filed under the name uncultured bacterium. Its description in RNAcentral is "bacterial SSU rRNA". It matches the Rfam family "Bacterial small subunit ribosomal RNA", at positions 509 to 916 of the family's 1533-position model. The record is from RNAcentral.